Molecule: long non-coding RNA, 1172 nt
Organism: Rosa rugosa (rugosa rose)
Lineage: Eukaryota; Viridiplantae; Streptophyta; Magnoliopsida; Rosales; Rosaceae
Exons: 4
Source: RefSeq, a predicted model, not a curated record
UUGAGUUUAUACAGUUGGGAGGAGGAGAGAAUGGGAAAAGAUUCAACGUUACUCUUUCUCUCUUCCUCUCUCAAUUCUGAUUCUCCUCUCAUCUCCCUCUGAUUUCAAUUCCCUCUCUCUCCUCCAUUCUCAUCAAUCUCUCUAAUAUGUUUCCUCAGUGGCUUUGUCGUUUUACAGUCAUCUCUUCCAGACCGAAAUUAAUAUAAAACUGAGCUAACUGAAUGUAUUUUGAGUUUUGCAAGAGUCUUGUUCUUGCGGUGCUCGAUCUUUAUCUUCUUGUUCGUCAUGAUGAGGGCUUCCAGUGGCUUUUGUGUUUGUUUAACUUUGCACUAAGUGGGAUGUAGAACUAGUUUGAUUUUGUUAGUUAUAUUCAGGGUUAAAUUUAUGCUUGGUAGAGUUGAAAAACUCUUUAUUAGAAAUUAUGAGUUAUAUUCGAUACUAAUGUAUGAUUAGCGUCAAUUAACAUGCGGUUUAAUAAACUGUGCACGUAAUCGUUGUCGGCGAAGAAGAGGGUGUGGGCACUUCCGCCGGAUUUAUUCCCCGAGAAGCCGAUUUCAGAGUUGGAUUUGAAUCUCGAGUACAAGCCGGAUCUCGGGGAAGAGUUAGAGGCUGGUAGAGAAACUUGAAGAAUGCACGAAAGGCUGAAGUAAUUAUCAUCCAUGGGUCGGUUAGUUGUCUGUGCUGGAGAUGGUGCAACUCAGAGUUCAACAAAUGGAACCCCAUCUCAUUUUUUGAUAUAUCAUUCCAUUUAUCCUAAUUGAUAUUAGUUGUGUAGUUCUGACUUGUUUCAGUACAUAUGUAGGGCUCUUUUAAGACAUGGGAUCAUGAUAUAUAUUGACGUACCUUUAGACAUUGUGAACAUGGGUCUGGUCGAAGAUCAAACUCAGCUCUCUGCAUACAAUCUAUCUACUUCCGUAUCAUAUACAGAGAAGUAGCGGUAAGUUAGGUUAUGAUGAAAACGAUGAUGUAACCACCGAAGACAUGGCUUUGGAGGUAAUCACAGAAAGUUGUAAAGUAACUCAAAUAAGUAGCUCAGACACAAGAAGGUAGUUCAAAUAAGCCUAUCUUUUAACUGGUGUAGUAGAUGCUUUUGAGUGGAUAAGAGAAAUGUAUGUAAAAUAGUGUAGGAAAUGGAUAAGCAGUUGUGUAGGUUUGUUUUUGCUUGCUAUGGA